This 515-nucleotide ribosomal RNA is filed under the name uncultured bacterium. Its description in RNAcentral is "partial 16S ribosomal RNA". It matches the Rfam family "Bacterial small subunit ribosomal RNA", at positions 28 to 523 of the family's 1533-position model. The record is from RNAcentral.
GAUGAACGCUGGCGGCGUGCCUAAUACAUGCAAGUCGAGCGAAUGGAUUAAGAGCUUGCUCUUAUGAAGUUAGCGGCGGACGGGUGAGUAACACGUGGGUAACCUGCCCAUAAGACUGGGAUAACUCCGGGAAACCGGGGCUAAUACCGGAUAAUAUUUUGAACUGCAUGGUUCAAAAUUGAAAGGCGGCUUCGGCUGUCACAUAUGGAUGGACCCGCGUCGCAUUAGCUCGUGGGUGAGGUAACGGCUCACCAAGGCAACGAUGCGUAGCCGACCUGAGAGGGUGAUCGGCCACACUGGGACUGAGACACGGCCCAGACUCCUACGGGAGGCAGCAGUAGGGAAUCUUCCGCAAUGGACGAAAGUCUGACGGAGCAACGCCGCGUGAGUGAUGAAGGCUUUCGGGUCGUAAAACUCUGUUGUUAGGGAAGAACAAGUGCUAGUUGAAUAAGCUGGCACCUUGACGGUACCUAACCAGAAAGCCACGGCUAACUACGUGCCAGCCGCCGCAGUAA